AAGGAUUUAAGUUAAACAAAAAACUCGGAGCCUUCAAAGCUUCAAAUAAAGUGUCUUUAAGCCUUA
Molecule: transfer RNA, 66 nt
Filed under: Ocypus brunnipes
Lineage: Eukaryota; Metazoa; Arthropoda; Insecta; Coleoptera; Staphylinidae
Description: tRNA-Trp
Source: RNAcentral